UGUCCAAGGGAUAGGGGUUUUUUCCUGGAGAAUAAACUCAUGAACUCAACCUGGUCUUUUGGUAGUUUUACUAACCCUCUGUGGCAGGCUUGAGCACCCUGUUACAUUUUGGCGCCCAACGUAAAAAAACUUAAGGAGGAGUCAGCAGUGACGAUUGUCUGAGGUAUGAACCGGACUAUAGCAAGUCUACGAACUGUAGGAGCGAUAUCCGGCGAUGACGUCAAGGUGACCUUGACAGAUAUAAUAUAGAUUAUAACUCGACCUUGACCUACGUUACCCGCUUCCGGUGAAGAACGUGAUUUUUUCUGUGUCGUGUUUAUAAACAUUUUUCUGCGAUGGUGUUCCUUGCUAAAUACUCAUCUGUGUUUAUUUCAUGGACCAUAGCAGUGGAUCGGGAACAAUUGACAAUACAGAAACCAGUCUCUUGAUUACUGUUGAACCAGAUGUGAUUUCUGAACCUACAGAUCUCAGCCGAAGGAUGACAUAUUGGCAGAUAAAAUCAGUCAUACUGCACUCUCAGAUCAAGGGGAAUAAAUCUGUAUUAAUUGAGAUCAUGGACCCCAUGUAAGUCAACAACUUCUGACCUGAUAUUGGAUGAUAGCCACAGACUUGACACAAAUGCAGCAAAAACAGCUCAGCAUGUGAGCACAACUGGAGGAGUACAAAUGUAAAACACCUGGAACAUGUUCAUAGACUUCUACAGAUUGAGUGUAGGAUAGAGCUUAUGAUAUAUAUUCUUGAACGACCUGACCAAGGACCAGCUUGGAGAAUUCCAGCUCAUGGACACGAAAAGUUUCCUAAAACAGAACAUUAAUUGUACCACAGUUGCAGUAACAGGCUGAGGACGCCUCCGCUCCCCAAAGACCGGGUUCACCAAGAACAACACAAACAAUACUUGAACACAGCAAACUUCCUAAAACAGACCAACAUUCUACCACAGCUGCUGUCUGUCACAGGUCAUGGCUGAAGACAUCUGCCCAAAGACUGGGUUCACUUAAUUAGGAAUAACACAAACAAUACUUGGAUAACACCCCUUCAGGCAUAUGUAGUAUGAAGAUAAGAACAUUGUGACUUAGAGCUAGUCCGAAUUAUGGCCUCUACAACAAACAGAGGUUUACUGGUGUCACUCUGUCAUACACAAAAUCUUGUCUAGACUCAUAACUAUUUAGCAUUGUUCAGGUUCAACCAAAGUCUGUAUACAAAUGUAUGACUGUCUUAAUUGCGACAUAUGCAUUAUUUUAAUGGGCAAUUUUACUGUACACUGCUACCUUAUCAAUGUAUAUUUUGAUGCUUGAUUAUAAGUUUGAAUUACAUUCUUUAUUACUCAAAAAUAUCAAAUUUGUCAAACAACUAUCUUGUCAUUAUUGGAUGAUCAAAGGGAGAUAACUCACUUAUCUGUUUCAUAUUUUCAAGGUGGGUUUAUAAUCAUAAUAUUCAGUGAAUUAGUGUUAUUUAAAUAAUUAUUAGAUGUUAUAUAACAAACUCAAAAUGGCUGAUUGGAUUUCUCACAAUCCAUAUAAACUGAAUCUUGGUUUGUUUUACCCAGUUUUCUACCAUAGCUGAAUACAUGGAUACUAAUUGAAAGAAAUUUUAUUUUUUGAAAUCGUUGGUAAAAACACUACAUGCAUAUUUUUAAUUUACUUUCACAAUGAUAUGUGUGUAUUUCAUAUAAAACUGAGUGAAUGGC
Molecule: RNA transcript, 1687 nt
Organism: Pecten maximus
Lineage: Eukaryota; Metazoa; Mollusca; Bivalvia; Pectinida; Pectinidae
Exons: 6
Source: RefSeq, a predicted model, not a curated record